UAGGGAAUCUUCGGCAAUGGGGGCAACCCUGACCGAGCAACGCCGCGUGAGUGAAGAAGGUUUUCGGAUCGUAAAGCUCUGUUGUAAGAGAAGAACGUGUGUGAGAGUGGAAAGUUCACACAGUGACGGUAACUUACCAGAAAGGGACGGCUAACUACGUGCCAGCAGCCGCGGUAAUACGUAGGUCCCGAGCGUUGUCCGGAUUUAUUGGGCGUAAAGCGAGCGCAGGCGGUUUAAUAAGUCUGAAGUUAAAGGCAGUGGCUUAACCAUUGGUCGCUUUGGAAACUGGUAGACUUGAGUGCAGAAGGAGAGAGUGGAAUUCCAUGUGUAGCGGUGAAAUGCGUAGAUAUAUGGAGGAACACCGGUGGCGAAAGCGGCUCUCUGGGCUGUAACUGACGCUGAGGCUCGAAAGCGUGGGGAGCAAACAGG
Molecule: ribosomal RNA, 429 nt
Filed under: bacterium
Lineage: Bacteria
Description: partial 16S ribosomal RNA
Rfam family: Bacterial small subunit ribosomal RNA
Source: RNAcentral